This is a long non-coding RNA of Contarinia nasturtii (swede midge), 1292 nucleotides long. RefSeq lists it as uncharacterized. Lineage: Eukaryota; Metazoa; Arthropoda; Insecta; Diptera; Cecidomyiidae. The transcript has 4 exons. The record is from RefSeq and is a predicted model, not a curated record.
UCAUUUUUUCGUUUUCUUCUUUCAAUUGUUUCGUUUUUCAGAUCGAUUUUUAUGAAUUCGCUUGCUGAACAUCGAAUUUCACAUAUAUAUUUUUUUUUUAUUUCGGAGGAAUAGAAGAGGCUUUUCAACACAGCACAGGAUCGUGGCUUGUUAAGUAAAAUAUGGCAAAUCGACAAACAAUAAAUUAUUUACGCAACAAUUUCCGAAUCGCUUUGGCUUUGUUUAGCGCUAUUUAUAGCGCACAAAUGUUUUGUAACAAUUGGGAUAUCUCUCGCCGACUCUCCGGUGGUGUUUGAAAGAGGCAUGGUUGCCAAUGAAUACGACACACAGCAUACAUCGAUAAAACAGAGUACUUUUCACCACCGGUAAAUUGUCUAACAGCGUUGUGUUUUUUUUUUGCCUUACACUACACCUUGAUUUGAACUGCAACAGCGUACAAUGGGCAACAACGAGCAGAGAAAGCGUGCUUGAGUGCAUUGUACAAUAAAUCAUAAUUCUUUGUCGCAAAAUGUACAAAACACCAACAGGACGACGAAGAAGAAUCGGAGAAAAAAACACGAAGAAAAUAGAAAAGAAAGAAGUGCAAAAAUAUAAAUAGCACACCUUUAUCCAUACAGUUGCAUUCAUUUCGGUCCUCUAACGGAAAAUCUGGAUUCUAAAUAUAUUUUUGUUUUAAAUCGUCCAAAACGGAUUUCAUGAAAUUCAUUGAAACGCAUCCGCAAUGUGUACACAUUGCGAUGUACAUAUGUAAAAGAUAUAACAUAAAUCUUGAGGGAAAAGCUGCUUAAAACCAAAUUAAAUGUAAUACUGAAGCGACGAAUGAACGUUCGUCGUACGGUUCAAAUUUAGAAUUUCAAAUACAUAAGAAGUCAAUUUAGUGAAUGAUGAUUUUUGAAACAUCCUUCGGAAAUAUUGUUAUUUCUAAAUGGGAAAAAAUCAUCGGAAAAAGAGAAAUGAAGAGAAUGCGUUUUAAUCAUCACAAAACAAAUUUCGGAAGUGCAUGAAAAAAUGAUGGCGGAAAAAUGCAGCAAACAGAUGUUAUAUAGACUUUAGAAACCUUUCUGAGAUAUUUCAUCGAGAAAUACAAUUUAAUCAUGCUUAAUUGGAAAUGUAGAUCAUGCCAAUAUAUUAAGAAAACAAUAGUUGUAAGGCUUUUAGCGAUUGUUCAUUUAAUUUGUUGGAACAACGAAAUUAUUGUUGAAAAGUGCAUAAUUAAGACUCAACAACAACUACAAAAUUUAUUUUUGGAUUAGGGCUCGUAUAUUAGGCAUUUUAAGAAGAAAAAAAAACAA